GAGAAUUUGAACAGUUCACAUUUGCUUUGGUUAAAGCAGCGCCUGUAGAGGAUUUAAUCCCGGGGUCCACUACAAGCCACUAUGCCAGUCAUGCAUUGAAGUACAGCCCCAUUAGAAAAGAAAUUUCCUGGUUCUAGCUCCUCUAAUUCAACUCAACCUCUUUAUCCUCAGCCUCUGUAUCUGGUCUAUCUACAGCUCUCCCAAGUCACGGAUUCCAAGUAAGAGAAUGAUUGUUGAUCACUUGAAUAGCUAUUCCUUUAACGUUCUUUUCUUCUUUUUUGGUGAAUUAAUAUUCUUUUCUUCUUGUAACAGGAAAAGGUAGGAAAACCAAGGGACUUGGGACUUUUGAAUCGCUUAGAAUUAGGGUUUUUUUAGUUUAUUUGAAAUCAGAUUUGGCUUGAGAGCAUGAAAUUCGAAACUUAAUAUGUGAUUUGUUGUUUUGGUGUACAACUACAGUUAUGAUGAUUAGUUGAUUACUAUGUAGCUUAGCUUUAGUUUUGAUCAUGUUAUGAAUAGGAUCUUUGUGUUUUGAUUGCUACCGGUUGAUUCGGAAAGUGUCGGAAGUUAAAUUAACUCUGUGCCUCUACAUUUAUUCUAAAGAAUUUUCUGCUCUGGGUAAAAUAUGUUGUUCUUGAUAACAUGAAGCUUUCUGCUCUGCACUUGUAUUUUUCACAAGUAAAAUUGCUUGACCAAAAGUGUUAAGAUAUUUCAUUUAGCAGGUUGUCUGACGUGGCAUGAUGGGUGGAAGUGCAAUAGAUGAUGACUGGGAGCUUACUUCACCAUCUAAUGGGGUUCGCACUGUGGUCUUAGUUGGGCGUACAGGUAAUGGCAAAAGUGCGACAGGCAACAGUAUUCUUGGAAGGAAGGCCUUCAAAUCAAGGGCUAGCUCAUCUGGUGUUACCAGUACUUGUGAAUUGCAGAGAACUGUGAUUACAGAUGGUCAAAUUAUCAACGUCGUCGACACUCCUGGACUGUUUGAUUUUUCUGCUGAAUCUGAAUUUGUUGGCAAAGAAAUUGUCAAAUGUAUUAACAUGGCCAAGGAUGGGAUCCAUGCAGUCCUUGUAGUAUUCUCAGUUAGGACCCGCUUUUCACAAGAAGAAGAAGCUGCACUUCGUAGCUUACAGACUUUGUUUGGAAGCAAGAUAUUUGACUACAUGAUUGUAGUAUUCACAGGAGGAGAUGAACUUGAAGAUAAUGAUGAGACAUUGGAAGAUUAUCUAGGUCGUGAAUGUCCUUGGCCUUUAAAGGAAAUUCUCACACUCUGCAAGAAUCGACGAGUGCUUUUUGAUAACAAAACUAAAGAUGAACUUAAGAGAGCUGAACAGCUUCAGCAGCUUCUUUCCCUUGUAAAUAUGGUCCUAGUCCAAAAUGGUGGACAACCAUACACAGAUGAGUUAUUUGCCGAGUUGAAACAAGGGGCUAUGAAACUUCGUGAUCAACAAGAAGAGGUUGAUUCUUUGAAAGGUUAUUCUAAACGAGAAAUAUUGGAGCUGAAGGAGCAGAUGCAUAAGUCAUACGAAGAACAACUGAAACGAAUAACUGAGAUGGUUGAGUCAAAGCUUAGGGAGACAACAACUAGGCUUGAGCAGCAGUUGGCAGAGGAGCAAGCAGCCCGACUAAAAGCAGAGGAGAUAGCACAAUUGGCUCAGAUGAAAUCAAAUGAUGAAAUCCGCCAGCUAAGAGAGAAUUUAGAAAGAGCUCAAAGGGAGACUGAGGAACUCCGUAGGCAGGCUGAAAGUCGGUGCACCAUUCUAUGAUAAUAUUUGAGUAUUAUUUCUAGCCUAUAUAUUUGGUUUAUCAAGCUUUUACUUAAGGAUUAUGGUUUUAUUUGUCGGGUAAUUUGUUUUAAAUCCUGUAUGUAAAUGCUUACCAAUGUUGGCUUAAGAUUUCAAUACGUGAACAUAUGUGCUCACUUCAGUUUCCUAGUUGUUGGAAAGUGGAAAUUUAGCUGCUCGAAAAGGUGGUUUCAAAGUUGUUUAAGGUUUACAUGAUUUGAUUUUGUGUAGCUUCAUGGACUUCUAGGAGUUGAUUUAUCUUCAUCAAAAGAUGCUAUUCUACUAGAUUCGAAAAGCCAAUGCAUCUCUCUCUCUCUCUCUCU
RNAcentral lists this unclassified non-coding RNA (2098 nucleotides) under Hevea brasiliensis (rubber tree). The record is from RNAcentral. Lineage: Eukaryota; Viridiplantae; Streptophyta; Magnoliopsida; Malpighiales; Euphorbiaceae.